CGAUAGGAACAGACCUCGAUUCAACAUCAGGCGAGUGCUGCGUGCCCCCAUCAUUGGAACAUUUUGAUUAUCUGUCGUGGUCGUGUUUCUUGCUCGAGGAGUAAAGAGAUAGAAGAUCUGGAAAGAACGAAAAGGUGACAUUUUGGCGGCGAUGCUGGUUCGCGCGCCUUACACCCUCCCCUUACUUUUUGUGGUCUGCUGUUGGUUUAGACAUAAUGCUGCGAUUCCACUUGCCUCUCAUUCAUCAAGUCAAUUUUAUUAAAUGCCGCUUUGGAUUUUUCAUCACUUCAUUUCAUACAAUUGCAACGCUUUGAUUUGGAUUCCUUGGCUGUAAAUGAAUUUUGGAAAUAAAUUUUAAUUAUUUUGUUACUCUGGGAGAUU
Molecule: unclassified non-coding RNA, 381 nt
Filed under: Pogonomyrmex barbatus (red harvester ant)
Lineage: Eukaryota; Metazoa; Arthropoda; Insecta; Hymenoptera; Formicidae
Description: uncharacterized LOC105428465, transcript variant X2
Source: RNAcentral